Molecule: ribosomal RNA, 495 nt
Filed under: Lophodermium piceae
Lineage: Eukaryota; Fungi; Ascomycota; Leotiomycetes; Rhytismatales; Rhytismataceae
Description: eukaryotic LSU rRNA
Rfam family: 5.8S ribosomal RNA (bases 137-289)
Source: RNAcentral
ACGCGUCUUCGGGCACUAUUCUAACCCUUUGUUUAUUAUCCAUGUUGCUUUGGCAGGCCUCCGGCUUCGGCUGGGUCGUGUCUGUCAGAGGCCCAACUCUUGAAUCAGUGAUGUCUGAGUACUAUGUAAUAGUUAAAACUUUCAACAACGGAUCUCUUGGUUCUGGCAUCGAUGAAGAACGCAGCGAAAUGCGAUAAUUAAUGUGAAUUGCAGACUCAGUGAAUCAUCGAAUCUUUGAACGCACAUUGCGCCCUCUGGUAUUCCGGGGGGCAUGCCUGUUCGAGCGUCAUUACAACCCUCAAGCUCUGCUUGGUGUUGGGCUCGCCCUCUCGGGCCUGCCUCAAAGUCAGUGGCGGCACCGUGUGACCCUAAGCGUAGUAAUACUCGCCGCUUUUUUGGUUACGCGAGGCCUGCCAGCCAACCCCCACCAUCAAGGUUGACCUCGGAUCAGGUAGGGAUACCCGCUGAACUUAACCAUAUCAAAAGCCGGGAGGA